ACCACUGCCCAUGGCUCCUAAAUUUAUUUUUCUAAAUGCCACAUAAAAACAUUAAAAUGGCACAUAUUAUGGGGUGAUGUGUGCUGUUUCAUACAUGUUCCCACUGUGAAAUACUCUGAUCAGGUUAAACACUUGUCUUCUCAAACAUUUAUCUUUGCUUUAUGGUGAAACCAUUCAAAAUCCUUUCUCUUAGCUUUUUGAACUAUACAUUACGUUUUCAUCUGAAGUCAGCAUAAAGUCUAAUUCUUAGACUUUUAGCCAGUCCUCUCAUGUGUGCUUCACCUCUAUCCCCCACUCUUGCAAGUACAUGGCAUCACCAUUCUCUGGGUUUGGCGGAGCUUUUUCCCUGGCAUUGGGAUCCAGCAUUUAGUAGUCAGGUCUGAGAGGAGACUCUGUCCAGUUGGCUUGACAUGGCAGGUGAAUGGUGCUCAUGGCUGCCCCCGUCCCUGGGUUAGAGGGUCCCAGCUGCCAGUGCAGUAAAGCAGUGCCCUAUUUGUCAUCUUUUCUUUCCGUGUAGUGAUUGAAAGGAAAAAUGAGUUAUGAUCCAGGUGUCUGAGUCCUGACCCUGUCCCUGCUUCUGACCCAGUUCUUGUGUUCUUGCCAUUUUCUUCUCCCUCCUUCCUGUUCUUUGCCUGGACCCCAGCGUUAUCUCUUUGCUGGUACCCAUGUUCUCUGCUCUCCCAAGUCCUACUACCCACCCUCGAGUGUGAUGUCAUUAACAGUGUCAUUCCACUUGCUGCUGGGACCUCUUGUCACCAGUGCAGGUGUCACACCUGCCAUUAUUAGACCUGGUUCCUUGGCCUUUGCCCACACUUCUGCAGACCCAGCCAAGUUAGACUUUAGUCUAAAAAACUGCUUCACUUUUUCAACCUCUGCCUCCCAUGGAAAUGCUACCUCCCCUCCCCUACUCCCAGGACCCAAGAUGAACUACAUCCUCAGCCCUUUUUAUUUUUUGCUUUGAAGCAAGAUCUCACUAAAUUGCUAAAUUGCCCAUGCCGAGCUCAAACUGCAGUCCUCCUACCUCAGUCUCCCAGAGUUGCUGGGAUUACAAGUGUUAGAACAAAAAUCCCAGAGCACAACUGCUGACAGCAGACAAAAGCAGGCUCCUUUGGGCUCAUGAAAAGAUUCAGGAGUAGAAAAGCAAUCAGAGGAGGAGAAUCAGAGGGGAACAAAAAGAAGUUUUGGUCCCAGCACUCAGGAGGCUGAGGCAAGAGGACUGAGAGAUCCAGGCCAGCCUGAGCUACAUAGCAAGACCUUCUAUCAAAAACUUUUUUAAAAAGCACAUUUAUGGGAGAUUAAAGAAGACAUUCAAGGGACAAUCUGGAGUCCAAGAAUACUGCUUUCAGAUGAAGUGCAAGAUUCAGGGAAAGAUACUGUGAUAAUAAUAUAAGCCAAUAUGUGAGAGUUUAGACCUUGAAAUAAAUGGAUUUUUCUCUUCAGUCCUGGAAUUGAACCCAGGACCUCUGUGUAAGGCUAUGCUGUACCACUGAGCUACAUCCUCAACCCAAAAUAGUUAUGAUUUUGGGGAGUUUAUUGGGGGGGUUGAGACAGGGUCUCACUAUGUAGUCCAAGCUGGCCUCAAACUCACAGCGAUCCUCCUGCCUCAGCCUCCUGAGUGUUGGGAUUACAGACAUACACCACCAUGCCUGGCCAGUUUUUAAAAAUAAAAUACAAAUGACUAAAAUUGACUAAAAGAAAUGGAAAAUUUGGAUAGACCAACUAUUCAGGUAGAUCAAAUUAUGUGGAUAGGAAAGAGCCAUCAAAAGUCUAGGGCCAGGGAUUUAGCUCAGUGAUUCUGCUGCCUGCCUCGCAAGCGCAAGGUCCCAAGUUUGAUCCCUGGUACCAAAAAAAAAAAAGUCAUACCCCCCAAAUUUCAGCUCCAGUUGAAUAAUGUGGAGAAUUUCCAGUAAAUCUUCAAGAAAGAUAAUAGGUAGUUUUACAAUCUAGAAUCUAGGGUAUGAG
This is a long non-coding RNA of Heterocephalus glaber (naked mole-rat), 1962 nucleotides long. The record is from Ensembl. Lineage: Eukaryota; Metazoa; Chordata; Mammalia; Rodentia; Bathyergidae.